This 452-nucleotide ribosomal RNA is filed under the name uncultured Pseudomonas sp. RNAcentral's name for it is "bacterial SSU rRNA". It matches the Rfam family "Bacterial small subunit ribosomal RNA", at positions 930 to 1382 of the family's 1533-position model. Lineage: Bacteria; Pseudomonadati; Pseudomonadota; Gammaproteobacteria; Pseudomonadales; Pseudomonadaceae. The record is from RNAcentral.
CGGAGGAGCAUGUGGUUUAAUUCGUAAGCAACGCGAAGAACCUUACCAGGCCUUGACAUGCAGAGAACUUUCCAGAGAUGAUUGGUGCCUUCGGGAACUCUGACACAGGUGCUGCAUGGCUGUCGUCAGCUCGUGUCGUGAGAUGUUGGGUUAAGUCCGUAACGAGCGCAACCCUUGUCCUUAGUUACCAGCACGUUAUGGUGGGCACUCUAAGGAGACUGCCGGUGACAAACCGGAGGAAGGUGGGGAUGACGCCAAGUCAUCAUGGCCCUUACGGCCUGGGCUACACACGUGCUACAAUGGUCGGUACAAAGGGUUGCCAAGCCGCGAGGUGGAGCUAAUCCCAUAAAACCGAUCGUAGUCCGGAUCGCAGUCUGCAACUCGACUGCGUGAAGCCGGAAUCGCUAGUAAUCGUGAAUCAGAAUGUCACGGUGAAUACGUUCCCGGGCCUU